AACUCCGCUUGAUCCUGGCGGACCCAACUGCUAUCGGGAUGAGACUAAGCCAUGCGAGUCAAACGCUUCCAGGCCAAUGUGGGAGCGUGGCAUACGGCUCAGUAACACGUGGCUAACCUACCCUCCGGACUGGGACAACUUCGGGAAACUGAGGCUAAUCCCGGAUAGACGAAGAGGCCUGGAAUGGUUCUCCGUCUAAAGGGCAUCAGGGCCAUGCUUCCUGAUGUCGCCAGAGGAUGGGGCCGCGACCGAUCAGGUUGUUGGUGAGGUAACGGCUCACCAAGCCUAUAACCGGUACGGGCCGUGA
Molecule: ribosomal RNA, 307 nt
Filed under: archaeon 13_2_20CM_2_53_6
Lineage: Archaea
Description: bacterial SSU rRNA
Rfam family: Archaeal small subunit ribosomal RNA
Source: RNAcentral